UUGCGGUUAAAAAGCUCGUAGUUGGAUCUCGGCGGGCAGGGGGUGGUUCGCUCUUCAGCGCUACUGCCCCGCUUUGCCCGUGUGAUUGGCGGAGGUUUCGGGGUGCUCUUCGUUGAGUGACUCGGAGCGCCGUCAGGUUUACUUUGAAAAAAUUAGAGUGCUCAAAGCAGGCUUUUCACGCUUGAAUAUUCGUGCAUGGAAUAAUGGAAUAGGAACUCGUUUCUAUUUUGUUGGUUUUCGGAAAUCGAGUUAAUGAUUAACAGGGACAAUUGGGGGCAUUAGUAUUCAGACGACAGAGGUGAAAUUCUUGGACCGUCUGAAGACUGACUACUGCGAAAGCAUUUGCCAAGAGUGUUUUCAUUAAUCAAGAACGAAAGUUAGAAGUUCGAAGGCGAUCAGAUACCGCCCUAGUUCUAACCAUAAACGAUGCCAGCUAGCGAUCUGCCGAGUUUUUUUUGUAGGCUCCGCAGGAAGCUUUCGGGAAACCAAAGCUUUUGGGUUCCGGGGGAAGUAUGGUUGCAAAGCUGAAACUUAAAGGAAUUGACGGAAGGGCACCACCAGGAGUGGAGCCUGCGGCUUAAUUUGACUCAACACGGGAAAUCUCACCAGGCCCGGACACUGGAAGGAUUGACAGAUUGAGAGC
This 643-nucleotide ribosomal RNA is filed under the name uncultured eukaryote. RNAcentral describes it as "SSU rRNA". It matches the Rfam family "Eukaryotic small subunit ribosomal RNA", at positions 613 to 1255 of the family's 1831-position model. The record is from RNAcentral.